AUUGAACGCUGGCGGAAUGCUUUACACAUGCAAGUCGAACGGUAGAGGGGGCAACCCCUUGAGAGUGGCGAACGGGUGAGUAAUAUAUCGGAACGUGCCCAGUCGUGGGGAUAACGUAGCGAAAGUUACGCUAAUACCGCAUACGAUCUAAGGAUGAAAGCGGGGGAUCGCAAGACCUCGCGCGAUUGGAGCGGCCGAUAUCAGAUUAGGUAGUUGGUGAGGUAAAGGCUCACCAAGCCAACGAUCUGUAGCUGGUCUGAGAGGACGACCAGCCACACUGGAACUGAGACACGGUCCAGACUCCUACGGGAGGCAGCAGUGGGGAAUUUUGGACAAUGGGCGCAAGCCUGAUCCAGCAAUGCCGCGUGCAGGAUGAA
This 377-nucleotide ribosomal RNA is filed under the name uncultured bacterium. RNAcentral describes it as "bacterial SSU rRNA". It matches the Rfam family "Bacterial small subunit ribosomal RNA", at positions 30 to 412 of the family's 1533-position model. The record is from RNAcentral.